GAGCUCAAAUUUAUAAUCUGGCACCUUCGGUGUCCGAGUUGUAAUCUCUAGAAAUGUUUUCCGCGUUGGACCGCACACAAGUCUGUUGGAAUACAGCGGCAUAGUGGUGAGACCCCCGUAUAUGGUGCGGACGCCCAGCGCUUUGUGAUACAUUUUCGAAGAGUCGAGUUGUUUGGGAAUGCAGCUCAAAUUGGGUGGUAAAUUCCAUCUAAAGCUAAAUAUUGGCGAGAGACCGAUAGCGAACAAGUACCGUGAGGGAAAGAUGAAAAGCACUUUGGAAAGAGAGUUAACAGUACGUGAAAUUGUUGGAAGGGAAACGCUUGAAGUCAGACUUGCUUGCCGAGCAAUCGGUUUGCAGGCCAGCAUCAGUUUUCCGGGAUGGAUAAUGGUAGAGAGAAGGUAGCAGUUUCGGCUGUGUUAUAGCUCUCUGCUGGAUACAUCUUGGGGGACUGAGGAACGCAGUGUGCCUUUUGGCGGGGGUUUCGACCUCUUCACACUUAGGAUGCUGGUGGAAUGGCUUUAAACGACCCGUCUU
RNAcentral lists this ribosomal RNA (535 nucleotides) under Rhodotorula mucilaginosa. Its description in RNAcentral is "eukaryotic LSU rRNA". It matches the Rfam family "Eukaryotic large subunit ribosomal RNA", at positions 104 to 655 of the family's 3401-position model. The record is from RNAcentral. Lineage: Eukaryota; Fungi; Basidiomycota; Microbotryomycetes; Sporidiobolales; Sporidiobolaceae.